This 389-nucleotide ribosomal RNA is filed under the name uncultured Streptococcus sp. RNAcentral describes it as "bacterial SSU rRNA". It matches the Rfam family "Bacterial small subunit ribosomal RNA", at positions 991 to 1382 of the family's 1533-position model. The record is from RNAcentral. Lineage: Bacteria; Bacillati; Bacillota; Bacilli; Lactobacillales; Streptococcaceae.
GAUGCUAUUCUAGAGAUAGAAAGUUACUUCGGUACAUCGGUGACAGGUGGUGCAUGGUUGUCGUCAGCUCGUGUCGUGAGAUGUUGGGUUAAGUCCCGCAACGAGCGCAACCCCUAUUGUUAGUUGCCAUCAUUCAGUUGGGCACUCUAGCGAGACUGCCGGUAAUAAACCGGAGGAAGGUGGGGAUGACGUCAAAUCAUCAUGCCCCUUAUGACCUGGGCUACACACGUGCUACAAUGGUUGGUACAACGAGUUGCGAGUCGGUGACGGCGAGCUAAUCUCUUAAAGCCAAUCUCAGUUCGGAUUGUAGGCUGCAACUCGCCUACAUGAAGUCGGAAUCGCUAGUAAUCGCGGAUCAGCACGCCGCGGUGAAUACGUUCCCGGGCCUU